Molecule: RNA transcript, 3641 nt
Organism: Columba livia (rock pigeon)
Lineage: Eukaryota; Metazoa; Chordata; Aves; Columbiformes; Columbidae
Gene: INTU
Gene name: inturned planar cell polarity protein
Exons: 16
Source: RefSeq, a predicted model, not a curated record
CACCUGCCCGCGGCCGCCCGCAGUCGCCGGUGCCGCGGGACAGGCGGUAGGGCGGGCCAUGAAGGGGCCGCGGGCGCUCGCGAUGUUCGGGGCGGGCAGGUACAGCAUCCCGCGGCCCGUCACCAGGAACCUGGAGGACCUGGACUCGGUGCAGAGCGUCCUGUUGCACAGUGACCUUGAGCCUGAAUGGUUGGAUGGUGUGCAGAAAAAUGGGGAAUUAUUUUACUUAGAACUGAGUGAAAGUGAAGAAGAAGCUCUGCUUCAGAACAGCUGUCCAGAAAUGCCAGCAGUGAAUCAUGUCAGGUUCCGUGAAAAUGAAGCUGAAGUUAUUCAGGAGGGAUCACGGAAAGACAGAAAGUAUGAACUGAAGAAAUUGACCAAAAUAUUAAAAAAGAAGAAUCUUUUACCAAAGCAUUCUGCUAAGAAAGGCGGUGGAAGCUGUAAUGUGCACUCUGCUGGUCCUACUUCCAUAUUGAAACACCAGUCCACUCAGAAAAUGGGUGUCAUUGUUCAGCAGAAGUACAAAGAUGUAUAUGUUUAUGUAAAUCCCAGAAAACUGUACAGUGCUGGAGAAGAUGAACAGCACAAGCUGCUGGAGGCCUUAGUAGGGAUUGUCCAUCAGUCUUCAUGGAGCAGCAGAAGAGCAGAAAAACAAGGCAAGAAGGAUAAAGUCAUGAGAGGCAUCGGUGAAGAGAAGCUUGUAGUACAUGGCUUGGUGCCAGGUAGUUCAGCAAUGAAAACGGGUCAAAUCUUGAUUGGAGAUGCUCUGGUUGCUGUAAACGAUGUUGAUGUGAAUUCUGAAAACAUAGAAAGGGUUUUGUCUUGCAUUCCAGGUCCUAUGCAGGUUAAACUUACAUUUGAAACAUCAAUGUUUGAGCCUGAAGGAACUUCUCAGCAAAGGUAUAAACAGACACAGUCGAGUAUGAACAAUCUGGUUCGGCUCCUGUGGGGAGAAGACAGUACGGACCUUCAACAAGCUAUACAAGACCUGCCUCAUAUUGUCAUGUUCCUCACACUGAAACUGGACUCUGAAACAUCGAAGGAUGAGCAAGAAAUUCUUUAUCAGUACCCCAAAUCAGAAGCAUCCCAAAAACUGAAAAGUAUAAGAGGAAUAUUUCUCACGCUGUCUGACAUACUGGAAAGUGUUAGUGGUACCCAGAUUAUCAGUUCCUCCCUUUUCUUAUGCGAAAAACUGGUUCAAGUUGUUUACUGGAAAGAGUCUGACAAGCUGCUUGUGAUCGGCCUUCCUGAAGAAAAUGUGCCACUUGCUCAGCUGAAGAACAUGAUUGAAGACGUUGUCAGGACCUUGAAAUUUAUGUAUAGCUCUUUAGACAGUGCUUUUUGCCAGGUGGAAAAUGUUUCUCGCCUGGAUCAUUUUUUCAACCUGUUCUUCCAGCGUGCGCUUCAGCCUGCAAGACUCAACCCCAGUGCCAGCCCCAGCACACAGCACUAUGAAACCUGCAGCGCCUUGUUCUUAGACAACCUCCCGGGCCUGCGCUGGCUGACACUGCCUCAGGAGAUCAAGAUGGAAAUUGACACAGUACUGAGUGACCUGGAAGCAGCUGAUUUUGCAGAGCUGUCUGAAGAUUAUUACAAUAUGAGAAGAUUAUAUAUGAUUAUGGGCUCUUGUCUCUUCUACAAGGGUUACUUGAUUGGUAAUCACUUGCCGAAGGAAGAUCUUCUUGAUAUAGGUUUCUAUUGUCGGCACUAUUGUCUGUUACCCUUGGCAGCGGAGCAGAAGGUGGGGCAGUUAGUGAUCUGGCGGGAAGUAUUUCCACAUCAUCACAUCCAGCCCUGCGAAGCUCCGAGUUUCACAGGAUACAGGGAACCUGAAGCAAGAUACUUCUUACUGAUAGUUGGCUUGAGACACUUUAUGCUGUGUGUGCUGCUGGAGGCAGGAGGCUGUGCAUCCAAAGCUAUCGGGAAUCCAGGACCAGACUGUAUCUAUGUAGAUCAGGUCAAAGCCACUAUCCUUCAGCUGGAAGGAACAGAGGCCGGCAUCGAGGAAAGGCUCAAUUCUCCUUCCAUCCCACCUCUGUCUUGUGCUGACUGGUUCCUUCCUGCCACGUGUGACAAACUGGACAGCUCAACUGCCUCACCCAUCCUCAGUAAGCUACAAAAUACUUCCAAAUCAGUAAGCACUCCAGCGAGCAAAAGGACCCUGUUUGGCGACUCUUCCUUGAUGACACGUAAGCCAAGUCCUACGAGGUACAGUGGAGGACCCGACCAUGGUAGCGAAGGUCCUGCGGAAGAUGAAAGCAGUAAUCCACAAUCUGUAGUGGAUCAGGUCACUAGAAAAAAACAUACCCUACCAAAUCCAUUUAAUUUAGGAAACCUCAGAAAGAACCUUUCAGAUAAAGAUACAGAACUUCUUAAUGCUAUCAAGUUGACAUCUGGUCCUGAGAAUACCCUCUUCCACUAUCUAUCUUUGGAAACAAUGCAAGGAAUCUUCAUCACUCCAACUCACAAAGAAGUAGCACAGCUUGGUGGGUCCAUCCACCCUCAGUUAAUUGCGAAUUUCCAUCGUUGCUGUCUGUCAAUUCGUGCCAUUUUUCAGCAAUCCAUGAUGAAAGAAUUGUUUUACAGAAACAGAAGAAAGCAGGCAAUGUGAUUUCAGAAUUUGCUGAAGACCUAGAUGUAGUAACUGAACACGGAGUUUUGUUUGAGUGCUCUCCUGAUAACUGGACUGAUCAGAAGAAACCACCACCAACAAUGAAUUACUGGGUUGUGGGGAGACUCAUUCUACAUCCCAAACCUCAGGAGUGUUAUGUCUGCUUUCAUGACUCAGUCACAGAAGCUGCUGUUGAACUGGCCUUUAAACUGUCCUUUGGCUUAGCCACAUAGAUGAGCAGCCAGAACAUUCAGCCACCCUGUACGGUGUUGUCACCUCCUUAAAGCACUUCAGGACAAAGCCCCAUGAACUCAGCUGUGGUGCCCACCCAUGGCCUAUGUUUGAAAUGCUUUUUAACAAACAAAAAAAAUCUACCUUGUGGUGUGACGCAGGUAAAACUUCAGCGAUUAUUCUCAUGACCUCAUCAAUUGAAUACUUUAAAAAAUUUCAGAAAACCAAAGUUCUUUUUUAUAUACUGUUGAAUAAUUUAUCCCCAUCAUAACUUUAUUAUAUGAAAACAUCACAUAAUUUGUACAUUCACUGCUGUUCAGUGUGUAAUAUUCACUGUAAAAUGAUAAACUGAUAUCCUCAGAGUGCUCUCUGAAUAUCUGGCUAUUGGUGAUGGAGGAGGAAAAAUAAGUUUUCCAAUUAAUUAAAAUUUUGCGCCUCUAUGAACAUGAAGAAUACUGAAUGUUUUCCGUAACACUCUGUUAAUCAAAACAGAAAUAAAUAUUUUAGCCAAUUCAUGGCACUUAGCCACACAAAACUAAUGGCUUAUCAUUUCUGUUAGUAUGGUAUCCUGCAUACUCGAGUACUAUAAUGUGGUUGAUGUUUUACUUGGCUUCAUGAGUUCUAAUUGUAAAUAAUACUUAUAUUUGUUAAAUAAUACUUACAUUUGUUAAAACGAAAUUUUGAAGGCCCAAAAGAAGAUGGCGGAUAGCAAGAUGAUGGUUUUAAGACAAACGCACGGACUCAGCUAAUUUUAUAUCAUAUUCAUAAUUUCAUAAUAAAAAAAUGUGUAUAUCUCAAA